Molecule: ribosomal RNA, 425 nt
Filed under: uncultured bacterium
Lineage: Bacteria
Description: partial 16S ribosomal RNA
Rfam family: Bacterial small subunit ribosomal RNA
Source: RNAcentral
GUGGGGAAUCUUAGACAAUGGGGGAAACCCUGAUCUAGCCAUGCCGCGUGAGCGAUGAAGGCCUUAGGGUUGUAAAGCUCUUUCAGCUGGGAAGAUAAUGACGGUACCAGCAGAAGAAGCCCCGGCUAACUCCGUGCCAGCAGCCGCGGUAAUACGGAGGGGGCUAGCGUUGUUCGGAAUUACUGGGCGUAAAGCGCACGUAGGCGGAUCAGAAAGUCAGAGGUGAAAUCCCAGGGCUCAACCUUGGAACUGCCUUUGAAACUCCUGGGCUUGAGGUCGAGAGAGGUGAGUGGAAUUCCGAGUGUAGAGGUGAAAUUCGUAGAUAUUCGGAAGAACACCAGUGGCGAAGGCGACUCACUGGACCGUUGUUGACGCUGAGGUGCGAAAGCGUGGGGAGCAAACAGGAUUAGAAACCCUAGUAGUCC